This 75-nucleotide transfer RNA is filed under the name Methanobacteriota archaeon. RNAcentral's name for it is "Euryarchaeota archaeon tRNA-Pro". Lineage: Archaea; Methanobacteriati; Methanobacteriota. The record is from RNAcentral. RNAcentral also lists the same sequence under 3 other names.
GGGACCGUAGGGUAGCAUGGACCAUCCUGCUAGACUGGGGGUCUAGCGACCGGCGUUCAAAUCGCCGCGGUCCCA